GGACAUCUUAUACGCUUAUAUAGCGUAAGAAACGAAUGUUUACAAAUGAUCAUCAUUGAUAUCAACAUUAUCAACUUUACCGCCAUUUUUAGGCAUUGUUCAAUCUCGGUACUCAUAACUUCUACAUUAUAUAGUCAAGAUAGUUUAUGUACUAUCGCGACAUAUACAUACAUCGCGACAUCGGUUCGAAUACCGACAUUAUAAUAUCCAGAGCCACCACAUAAUGUAUGUGAUGUCGUAUAAUAAUACACCACCCCAAAACUUGACCAAGAGUACCUCAAUCUAAAUAACCACAUCCCUGUUGAUUAAAUGUUGCGGUUUAAGAUUUCCGCCAAUUGUGUUUCAGGCCAGCUUUAUAAGAACAGUUCUGAUCUGCUUAAUGCAGCAUUAGACAUGGAUAGUGUCAUAAUUGGGCCUGGGAUAUAAAAAAAUGACGAUGUGUUCAAAACGGGUCAUCCAGUUGUCACCGAUAAGAAUCAUCAUGUGCCCAAUGGCACCCUGGCUGCUGCUGAAUCGGCACCAGCAGAACAGCAAGCAUCAGAAGCAGCGUAUGUUUCGUUGCCUGGCAACCUCUCUUUUUAAAUCUAAUCAAAACUAGAAUUGCCACAAAGAAUUGGUUUCCAGCACUGGAAGAUUAGAUAUAUUUAUAAAAGAUUUGAAAUUGAAGAUAUGGUGUUUUUGAAAUAAACUUCAUUGAAGUGAAACAUAUGUUUGUGCUAGAAUAAUACUUGGGUAUAAACAGUCCUUUGAUUGGUCGAUCGCUGCUGUCAAUGAAACUAAAAAUAGUUAGCUGAUUUACAAAAGAAACCUCAGCUGGUGGUUUGUGUUACAUGGCUGAUGAUUUGUGUUACACUACUUGUGAUUUAAGGUGGAGCACAUGUGAUUAUAAAAUAAACAUAUAUUGCAAUCUAAACUGAUUUGCGUUACACCGCUGAUGAUUUGUGUUACACUACUUGCGCUUUGUUAUUAUAAUUAGAACAUUAACAUUCAUGAUUAAUAUUUAUAAGAAGGUGAGACAUAUAUGAUUUAUAAAAAAAAAUAUCAUAUUGCGAUAUGAACUGUGUAUUUAAAACGAUACAAGAGAAAUAAACAUGGAUAAAAUAUACAAUUUAAUAACACGGUGGUUAUAUAGUCAUGGCAUGAGACGGUCACAAUUAAGAUAAAUAUUUAGAAACAAUUUAAAGGAUCGAACAAACACUAUUCUCACAUUUCUUUAAUGCUUUGUACGCGAUUGAUAUAUAUAUAUAUGUUUAAAAGGAGUGUUCCGGCUUUUAAUCUCUGAAUUGAGUCUUCAUCUGACUAUGGCGCCAAUCUAUCGGGCUAAAUCUGCCGAGGCUCGAAAACAAGGAACCGGUGAAGAUGUAUACCCAAUGUCAAAUUGUAUGAAAUAUGAAUGGAUGAGACUAAGUUCCUUCAAAUCAUUUCCUAGACAAUCUGAAGGAAGGCCGAUAAAAUUAGCUAAAGCUGGGUUUGUCUUUACCGGUACCAGAGAAGAUGACACUGUUACGUGUUUUACGUGUGGUGUUACUAAAAAUAACUGGCUUAAAUAUGAUGACUCUCUUCAAGUACAUAAAGAUCUGAAUCCUAGAUGUAAUUUUGUAAACAACACAUCUACAAAUGUUGGCAUCUUAGUUCCGGGCCAGAUGAAUAUAAUACAAUCUUGGAAAAGCUGCAUAAUAAAUAUGACAUUUCAUCACCAGUAGAUACGUUAUUUCCAGUACAGACGCGUUCAUCAUAUCAUACGGAGAUCAAUAUAAAGCGCUUUAACUUAGCAAGUUCUGCUAGUUUUGUACAAACUAUGGUAGUAGAAGAAGCAAGACUAAGAACAUUUCAACACUGGCCAAGGUAUUUGACUGUUAGACCGAUUGAAUUAGCACGAGCUGGAUUAUAUUAUCUUGGUUCCGCUGACCUGAUAGUGGAAAUUUGAACCUAGUUUAAAGUGAUGCACCAGCAACAGCAGAAGAUUUGGGUAUCAUCACUCAAACAGCUUCCCAACCAGAUAAAGCUAUCCUCACUACUCGGGUGGCAACAUUUGCUAAUUGGCCGAGAAGAUCACCAUUGCCCAGCAAAGAACAGAUUGCUGAAGCUGGAUUUUACUACCUUGACCGAGAAGAUGCUGUAGAAUGUUUUUUCGGUGGUGGGAUUUUAAAAUCCUGGAGAGAUGAGGAUAUCCCAUGGAAUGAGCAUGCAAAAUGGUUUCCUAAAUGUGCUUAUUUACUGGGGAUCAAAGGUCAAGAAUUUGUGGACACUAUACAUCAACCUGGUACCGGUACGGCAAAGGCCAGCUUUAUAAGAACGGUUCUGAUCUGCCUAAUGCAGCUUCAGACAUGGAUAGUGUCACAAUUGGACCUAGGAUUAAAAUAAAUGACGAUGUGAUGAAAACGGGACAUCCAGUUGUCACCGAUAAGAAUAAUCAUGU
This is a long non-coding RNA of Patella vulgata (common limpet), 2419 nucleotides long. RefSeq lists it as uncharacterized. NCBI's taxonomy places the organism in Eukaryota, Metazoa, Mollusca, Gastropoda, Patellidae. The record is from RefSeq and is a predicted model, not a curated record. The transcript is spliced from 7 exons.